This 415-nucleotide ribosomal RNA is filed under the name uncultured bacterium. RNAcentral's name for it is "bacterial SSU rRNA". It matches the Rfam family "Bacterial small subunit ribosomal RNA", at positions 355 to 767 of the family's 1533-position model. The record is from RNAcentral.
UAAGGAAUAUUGGACAAUGGUCGCAAGACUGAUCCAGCCAUGCCGCGUGCAGGAAGACGGCCCUAUGGGUUGUAAACUGCUUUUGUACCAGAGAAAACAUAUCUACGUGUAGGUAGCUGAUAGUAUGGUAAGAAUAAGCAUCGGCUAACUUCGUGCCAGCAGCGGAGGUAAGACGAAGGAUGCAAGCGUUAUCCGGAUUCGUUGGGUUUAAAGGGUGCGUAGGCGGGCUUGUAAGUCAGUGGUGAAAUCGCUCAGCUUAACUGAGAAACUGCCAUCGAUACUGCAGGCCUAGAGUAUAGAAGAGGUUGGCGGAAUUUGACAUGUAGUGGUGAAAUACUUAGAUAUGUCAUAGAACACCGAUUGCGAAGGCAGCUAACGAAACUAUAACUGACGCUGAGGCACGAAAGUGCGGGGA